Molecule: long non-coding RNA, 540 nt
Filed under: Salmo salar (Atlantic salmon)
Lineage: Eukaryota; Metazoa; Chordata; Actinopteri; Salmoniformes; Salmonidae
Description: lncRNA (ENSSSAG00000086444.1, ENSSSAG00000105361.1)
Source: RNAcentral
AUACGUAAAGCUUAUUAAAGAGCAGUGAUACUCUGAUGAAGGCCUUGAGGUCGAUACGUAAAGCUUAUUAAAGAGCAGUGAUACUCUGAUGAAGGCCUUGAGGUCGAUACGUAAAGCUUAUUAAAGAGCAGUGAUACUCUGAUGAAGGCCUUGAGGUAGAUACGUAAAGCUUAUUAAAGAGCAGUUGUAACAGUAUUGCUUCCGUCCCUCUCCUCGCCCCUACCUGGGCUCGAACCAGGGACCCUCUGCACACAUCGACAACAGUCAUCCUCGAAGCAUCAUUACCCAUGGCUCCAAAAAAGCCGCGGCCCUUGCAGAGCAAGGGGAACAACUACUUCAGGUCUCAGAGCGAGUGACGUCACCCGAUUGAAAUGCUAUUAGCGCGCACCACCGCUAACUAACAAGCCAUUUCACAUCAGUUACACAGUGAUACUAUGAUCAAGGCCUUGAGGUCGAUACAUAAAGCUAAAUUAAAGAGCAGUGAUACUCUGAUGAAGGCCUUGAGGUCGAUACGUAAAGCUAAAUUAAAGAGCAGUGAUA